CAAAUCUGUUCGGAUUCCGUAUAUGGCCGUUGGUAGGGUACAAUUUCCCUUCGUUUCCAUUCCUGUCUCUCGAUUUCCCUGCAUAAGUGCGUGUUGAGGUAUUCGGAGUAUCGAGGUCUUGUUAAUCUCCGGGGGACAUAAGGGUCAAUUAUCACCUCAGCAGCUUCAUGAUUUGGGUGCGUUCUCAUACGGUCAACAUAUCUCCUACAAGCUUUAACAUAAACCUCAUCCACCGUCUCAACGCCUAGGUCCCGGUGGAUGGUAUCGUUACGAACAUACCAUGGGGCGUUGGUAAUUGUCCGUAGCGUUUUGUUUUGUUCUGUUUGUAUGCGUCCAAACUCGAGAUUAGAGGCAAGGGGUCCCCAAACAGGCAGUGUAUACUGCCAGAUAGGUGCAAUAAUUUGCUUAUAUAGAGUAACCCUUGCAUUUAGGCAUAGCUUGCUGUUGCUGUUCAGCAGCCAGUGGAGUUUUUUGACUCUAGCUUUGAUUUUAGUCAGAGUUGCCGUGAUGUGGUGAUGGCAUUGCAGCUUAGUAUCAAGACGCACUCCGAGAUAGGGGUGAAAUGUGACAGUUUGUAGGCUUUUUCCAGCAAUAUUGGGAAUGAAUAUACCCUCAGGCUCCAGGGUAUUUCGGAGUGUAUGGAAGACGUGCACAGUUUUAGAGGCAUUGAUAGUGAUGCCCCAUUUUAUGGCCCAGACAGAUAUUCUGCUUAGGAACCGGUUCAAGCUGGAGAUGGCUACGCGCUGGGUACAGCCCCUGGCUAAAAUGGCUGUGUCAUCUGCAUAGGUUGCCAGCAACAUAUUUGGGUCACAUGGGGUGGGCAUAUCAGCCGUAUAUAAAUUGUACAGGACAGGCCCUAGUACACUACCUUGGGGGACACCAGCCAAGACAACCUUUUCUCCGGAUUUGACUCCUCCUGUGCAUUCUACCGUAAAGGUGCGUCCGUCCAAAUAACUGCUGAGGCAUCUGUAUAGUGCCGUCGGAAGCAGCUGUCUCAUUUUGAAUUUCAGUCCAGUAUGCCAGACCCUGUCGAAAGCCUCUUGAAUGUCCAUAUAAACUGCCGAACAAAUCAUAUUCUUCUCGUAUGUUUCCAAGAUGAAUUUGGUCACCCUUCCAAUUUGCUGUUCAGCUGCAUGCUCAUGCCUAAAACCAAACUGAUGAUUAGGGAUUGCACCUAUAAAUCCGUCCGCUUCCAUCAUCCUAGUUAGUAGGAGACGCUCGAAUAGUUUGGACAGCCCUGAGAGCAGGCUGAUGGGUCUAUAUGAGGCCAGUUUGUCCGCUGGCUUGCCGGGUUUUGGGAUCAUUGAAACAACCGCUCGUUUCCACAGGCUCGGGAAACAGCCAAAUCGAAGCGAACUGUUGCAAAUCAUGACAAUGUAAAGCAAGGCAGUCUUGGGAAGCAAUUUUAUUGUCUGAUUGUCAAUAUUGUCCUCUCCGGGGGAUUUCCUCAGCUUCAGGUCCUUGAUCUGGGUCACUAUUUCAGCCAAAGUUAUUGGUCUGAAAGUAUGGUUGGGUGUGUGUGGGUCCAUCAAGUCUACAGACUCCUCAACUGAUUGUCUCUCCUCCUCAGUAUUUGAAAGUAAAGGCUUGAACCUCUGCUCAAGGUGAAGAGCGAAAGAUUCAGCCUUUUCCUCCGUACUUUUGCACCACGGGUCCGCAGUAUCCUCCUGUCCAUCCUCAACGAAACUUCUCACAGGCAGAUUAGCAGGAGGUUGUCUUUUCAGACCAUUAGUCAGCCUCCAUAGUUUUUGCAUGCUAUAUCUGUCUGUGGGAUCGAUUGCACCCAGCUGAGCGUCAAUUCGCCUAGAUUUUGCUGCCUCAAUCUCUUUGUGGAUCCUGUUUGCCAAAAUGUUAUGCAACUGCUGCGCAACUGGGUCGCGCCUUUUCGUUAGAAACUUACGCAAACGUCUCUUAGUGUCAAUCAUGAGUCGAACACGGUUAGUCAGGGGCACCUCUGCCUGCAAUCUGGGUCGGACGGGCCUCCUUAAGUUGCUACUAGCGAGCUCAGCAGCUUUAAUGAUAUUAUUCUGCAGGAUUUGUGCAGCAUCAUUGACAUCGUCAGUCGAUCUAAGCUCAGUGUUUAGGUGAAUAUGUGUAUCAAGCCAGUUUUGAAACACCGAUACAUUAGAGCCUGCCGGCAGUAGGCGUCUUUUCAUCAUAAUCUCCGCUGGAGACUCGCGUAAAUUAAUAACCAUGGGCAAAUGGUCCGAUGAGAGCUCACUUUGGCCGAAAAUACUGAGUAAAUCAUCGCGAAUUCCUUUGUAGACGGCGAAGUCGAUCGCUGAGGGGGAAUGAUUGUUGUUGUAGGGGAAAUGUGUUGGCGAACCUGUAGCCAGAAUGUUACAGCUGCUAGUCUGAAUUGAUCUGAGCAAGGUGCCUCCUCUCUUACAUGCCCUUGGGUUUCCCCACCAUGAAUUUUUGGCAUUCCAAUCGCCAGCAGCAACAAAAUUCCUUCCAAAUUGUUCGAAUAUGUCUGUAAAUCCCUUCUCCGUCCAAUCCUGCUGUGGUGGGCAGUAGAUAGACCAAAUACUGACUCGCGUGCUACCUUUUAAUGUCACAUGAACUCCAGCAGCCUGGAUGUAGUCCGUUGAUAUGCUUGGCAGCGCCAUAUGGGGGAUUGAAGAUCGAAUAAGUAGUAAGGUGCCUCCUCGACUUAACCCAGAUGGAUGGUGGGCAGUAUAUGUGCAGUAUCCGUGUACACUGAAGGCCUCUGAGUUUUUAAAAUGAGACUCAGAGACCAUCAUAAUGUCCACUUCAUGCCUGCACAUAUAUUGUUCAAGCUCCGCAGUCUUACCUCGGAGCCCCGAGGCGUUCCAAAAUGUGAUUUUGAAACGGUCAUCACUACGACGAGGAGAAUUCCCGGUAAGUGAUCUAUACAUUUGAGGCCAAAGUAUUGGCCUGAAUUGUGGCGAUCAAACAUUCCGUUAACUUAGUCAUUUGAUUCAAUAACUGAUCCAUUUUUCUUUCCAGUUCUCGAGCAGGUUCGGCCGGCGCUGGCUGUGUCCGCUCCUGGGUUAGCAAGGUGAUGAGAGUGUCCAACUUCCGACUUAGUUCGAUAGAGUGCACAGACUGACUGCUCAACCCGGGGUGUGGGACAGCCCCUGCGGCCCGUAUAUCAUCAGUUGGAGCAAUAUGCCACCCCUGUUGCCUGGCAGGCAGAGGCUGGGAUAGAGUCUGCUGCUGGCCAUUACGCACUGCUGAUGCAUAACUCCCCUGAAGCACAGGUGGAGUUGGAAUUAAAGCACCUGAGCGCGCACGACGGCGGCCAGGCUGCUGCAAAUCUGGAAAGGCCUGCUGGUUCACUUUGGGUGGCUGGCGGGGUCGUCGCAAGCCCAUUGCGGCGGGUAAGGUAGGCAUAUUGAGUCUAGAUAACAUGUUAUUCGUUUUGACUAACCCAUUUUCUCUCUUCUUGCAGUACUCUUUGUAUUUAAUACAACCACGAUAGUUGGCUACGUGGGCACCGCCGCAGUUGGCACAUUUCGGAGUCUCCUCCCGCUUUUUUGGGCAAUCCUUGGGCUCGUGUUUGUCGCCACACUUUACGCAAAUUACUGCACGGCUGCAAUAAUUCUUUGUAUGCCCAAACAUCUGACACUUAUGGCAUUGUGGCACGCCAGGAGACCGAAUCGGCUUUUCAACUUUAACAACCUGACUGCAAAUAGCUGUUACAUUGAAUAUUGCCAGAUUAUUGGCUUGAGGUUCUAGCUCUAUCUCAAAUAGGUCUAAUGGUUCCUUGGUGAACCGCUUAUAUAUAUUAGAGAUAUGCCUAACAAUAUGUCCCAUUGAUUUAAGCUGUUCGCACACCCAGGCUGUGGGUGUCGAACGAUGUAAAUGUCGUAUUACAACGCGCAAUCCCUUUUCGCUCCUCAAGCGAAAUGUAUGGAAGUCUACACCCUGUCCGUCUGCUUCUUUUGCACUGAGCAUUUGUACAAGCUUUCUGUGUCCGUCAACUGUAUGACAGGUCACCUUCAGGCAUCCGUUUGCAGUGGGUUUCGUAUCAUACGAACCCACUCCAAUAGCUGCAUCAAUUCCCUGCAGCAAGGGGACAAUUUCCCUUACAUUAGGGAUGUAGAUGGGGGCCGGUCGCACCGUUUUGGCGCCUGCAGAAGUUGUUGCAUUUUGGGCAGAGAUAUUGCCAGGUUCAGGGGCAGUUCUGACUGGGCCAGAGGGCCUGGUCUUGGAGGCAGGUGCCUCCAGCUCUGAUUCUCCCUCGCUGGAGUAAUCAAUAGCCAUCGCUUCAUUGUCCGAUAGUAUCUCGAAGUAAUUUCUCGAGCUAGGGGUAGAAGUAGCAUUAACCUUGGGUCUGGUCCGUUGUGCUGUUUUGGAGAGGAUAGUAGCUGCUUUCUUCGCAGAUGGCUUAGCUAUAGAAGAGCCCUGAGUAGUUCUGCUGUUCUGCUUUAUUCUCCUAGCCUCAGACUCGGCUCGGAGUUUUGCACUAAGCUGCAGUUCAACUGCAUUUUUGGACUGCUGCUCUUUAAGCAGCUCCGUCAGAGUAGCCUGUCUCAGAGUCUUAGUAUUCGUACUCACUUUGGUUGAAGCUGCAGCAGCAGCAGAAUUAAUUGAAUUAAUUGUUACCAUGGCGGCGGGGGGGGGCAUAGACAAGGCAGCUGCUGCUGCUGAUGUAGAGGGCAUAUCGCUGGUUAAGUCAGCUAGUGAGGCAGAUCUUCUAGUCAUCAAUUCAUUACUCGCAAUUUGCGGGGCAAUAUUUCCUGCAUUGGAGAUCAUUAUUUCUCCAGUGCUCCAGUUCACAACGCUAUUUUCGUUGUCCGAUGAGGCUGCACUCGAAGCAGCAUUGGUCUUUUUGGACUUUGGGCCAGGUUUCCGAACCAUUUUGAAUUGUUUUUAUUGUUUUUAAUUGUUUUGCUAUGUAAGCAAACGUCACUGACAGGUGGGGGGGAGCAGCAGAGGCUGCGGCCUUCCCCACGUUUUUUCACUUUUCAACAAUAGGUUAUGUCGAAAAUUUUCAGCACAAUUUUAAUACUUCGGCACAAUAAUUUAUAUUGGCCGAAAAGUUAUUUUAAACUGAAGCACAGGUCACUAUUACACCAUGUGCAAUUUUUCAGCAAUUUACAGCAAUUAUUUGCCUAUUAAAUUUAAUUUUCUUCGGGAGCUUUUGUUUUUUUUGUUAAUCGCAUGCAUCGGCGGCAGUGCGAGAAUG
Molecule: long non-coding RNA, 5155 nt
Filed under: Drosophila guanche
Lineage: Eukaryota; Metazoa; Arthropoda; Insecta; Diptera; Drosophilidae
Source: RNAcentral